AUGUAAACAUACUUUAAUGGAGCAUCAUUGAAUCCUUUAAAACAAUUACAACCUAGAAAUAGUUAAUCACCACAAUUAUGGCUUUGGAUUACCUGUAUUAGAACAAAGAUCUCUGAGAGAUCAAGUAACUCUGGUAAAAAGGGUCCUUGAGCAACUAUGAACUCAUGCAUCAUAAAAUUGAUGAGGAAGCAAAAUUAAAUAUGGUAAACAGAUGAUUUACUGUUAUGCAAAGUCAAAGGAAUACAGGGAUCAUGUAUCUACCAAUAUACAUUUAGGGCUGAGACUCCAAAGAGAGCACUAAUUGUUCUGGUUGCUUCUUGGUUCAGGCAUGGGACCAAAUUGAUAAGGUGUUGUUAUAUCCGAGAAGAGAUCAUAGGGAUGGUGUUCUGAAGGUAAGCAGCAGCUGCAGCCACUCCACUUCCCAGCUUCACUUGGUAUCCUACAUCUCUGAGUACCAUUUCCACACCACUCAAGCAACCAAGCAAUUGCAACUGCAAAACUCGAAAAGAGGAUGGUCAGCAAAACACAGUAACAACUGGCUGCAUUACCUACCUAUAGAGCACAAACUUCUGGUAUGAAACUGUUCUACCCAUGAAAGUGUAUACAAGUUCACAUGAAAGCAAUGCAACAGAGUAGGGAAAACUACAAUGGAAAACAAUCUAUGCGCAAGAUCAUUAAAUGGUGGAUUUUAGAGGACAAUGCAAUCUGUCCCAAUAAUAAGAUUUUGUUGCCAGUAAAAGUACAUGAAUUUUUAUCUUAGCAUUAUUUUUAAUCAACUAAAUCCAUCAUAUUUUCUACUAAUAAUAAUUAUUGGUUUUUUUUGGUGAAUUCUUUUAGCAGAAUCUUUUGUGUGAGUUUUCCUCUUUAUCUUACUCUUCCCUUUCGAAUCAUCCAAUUUUUAGUAAUGGAUCAACCGUAUAGGCUACUUUGCCUUCCCACUCAUUUUUUUCUUGGAUACUUGACCUUGAUUCCUUGCUCUGAACUACAUAAUCUUUGCAAGAUGCUUGAACUAGUUAUAAUUGGAAUAAACAAUUACUUCAUGCAAAUUAGUGGCAUUGACCUGCAGCAUGUGAUAAAACAAUAUUUUUUAGUUUUCAUCACAGAAUAACAGAUGUUAGUCGGGAUUCAAUUUGCCUUAGAUACUAACUUUAGCAUAUUAUUGACAUCCCCCUGAUAAAAUGAAUGACAUGCUACAAUAUCUAGUUCACAGCAACAUGCAAACACCACAACCCUUAUGCUUAUGAUGAAGCAGAUAGUAACAAGAUACACAAUAUAAUGUUAUUUAGAUCACCUAUUUGCAUACCAAUUCUAACAUAGUUUUCAAAUUAUUCACACUCACUCUCUUUAGUUCAACUUUAUAAAUUCAGCAGCUAACUAUUCAAUCCUACCUGAUAUAAUCAGUAACUAUGGUUUAGCUGUAAAGUAAUCUGCAAUUCCAAACUAACAGCUAUCAUAUGAUAUGAUAUAAUGUAGCACAUUAAUGAUGGACCUUGAGGCAUCAUUAGUCUAACACAAUUACAUGGCUAAAGAAAUUCUCAGCCUAGACAUGAUGUUAUAUGCUAAAGAGAACUAUUUUAGUUCACAACUUCCAUGCAACAUUUUGAACCCUAAAUCAUCCAAAUAAACCAUCAGUUUAGUGUAAAGAUAGUCUCCUUUAGCAUCUGAAACUGUUAGAUGAAUUUUCAAGUCCAUAAAGUACAAGAAUGAUAUCAAGUAUCAUGAUUGCACCUAACCUUAUCUUUUGAUUGAUCAUAGCUCACUUCUAAUUGACAUAUGAACUAUUACAAUGAAUAACACUCAGUUUAGUUCACUUGAAGAUAACUAACACAAGAUAUUUCAAUCAGAAAUAAAGAUGUAGGAGCAAGUUUGACACGAGCAGCGAAGCUAACCAUUGAUAAAGUGAAUGACAGGUAAAACUGAUCUGAAGCCUAGAUCUCAAGUGUCGGUUUAGGCCAUAACUCAAUUAACUUACUUAACUCACAGUGGAAUAGUUAGCAGCAAUGCAAAUGCAAGAGUCACCUAGGAAAUUUAAUGAAAAAUGUACCUUUCAGAAUCCGAUAUCAGAAAAACACAGUUUUAUUGAAUGUCUUGCGAACAUUUGUGAGAAAUGGAGAUAAAAAUGCAUACAUGCCAGAAAUGAUUAUAUUCAUAUUCGUAAAUUGGUGGCUGCAGAAUAUUCAGGGGAGGCGAAAAUUGAUGAACUUGCUGUUUCUUUAGCACAUAACAAUUGAAAAAAUAUAUAUGUAAAUUCUUCAACCAUAAGAUAGUGAACUAUGUAGUUAUGAAACUGCUAAAGUAAACUACGAAUUCAGUACAAACCCAAAGAUUAGAAUGGAACAAAAUAAGGAAAAUUCAUUAAUUUUCCUAGUUUAAGUCUAGAUCUACCUCCAACAAAUGUUAGAAAGAAAACAAUUGCCUCAUGUUUCAUAAAUUCAGACACAUAUACAAGAUUCUAGUUAGAAGAGAAGCAAUAUUACUAAAUAAAAAAGGGAAGAAAGGAAGCCAUACAUCAUUAAGGUUGCCAAGAUGCCCUAUCCUGAACACCUUUCCUGCCACUUUAUUAAGACCAAGCCCUAAGCUCAGAUUGUAUCGUGUCCACGCUCUCUUCACAACAUCAGAACUGUUAAUAUGAGGUGGAACCAUCACAGCAGUGACAGUAUCACUAAACCAUUCCUCCUUCUGUGUACAGUUCUUCAAGCCCCAAGCCUCUACAGCAAGCCUGCAUUUUCAAAAGAAUGAAAAUUUGCAAUUAUAGUUUAAGAAUGCAGCAACUACCAAGAGUUAAAUUACUGAAUUGAACAAUUCUUUUGGUUUUCUAGUGUUUCCCACAAACACAAAGACUGAAGGUAUUACAGUUGACAGAGAAAAAAUCUUGAGGAAUAAUACAUCAACUGCAACUAUUUGUAUACCUUGUUGCUUUUCCAAGUCGGCUGUGCCUUGCGAUCACAUUGUCAAGGCCUUCCUCAAAUAAAAGAUCCAAAGCAGCUCUGAACCCAUACAGAAGUUGGAUGGAAGGUGUGUAGGGCCAAUAAGUUCCCAUUUUAUAGAACUUCAAGUAGUCAUUCCAGUCAAAGAAAACCCUUACUGAUUUGGCUGACUUAGCAGCUUCAAGUGCUUUAGGACUAGCACAUACAAUUCCCAUGCCAGUAGGCAUCGAAAGAGCUUUUUGUGAUCCUGUCAAAGCAACAUCAACUCCCCAUUCAUCCAUGCGGAAGUCAAUAGCACAUAUAGAUGAAACUCCAUCCACAAGUAAUAAUGCAGGAUGAUUGUGCUCAUCUGCAAAGGCAAAGCUAUAGCAUCAGCAUAAUAUAGACCAUCAAAGAAAGAAACAAUAUGAUCACAAAUUGGACAAAAUGAUAAAAACAAACACGUUAGAAGAAUGUGAGAAAACUCCAACUUGUGAGAAAAAAAGGUAGCAUCCAAGGCAUAUAUGGAAAGAUAGGACAUCGGAAAGUAUAUGUAAUGAAAAUCAAUAAUCGGAGAAUUAAUCUGACGAAAAUUCUUAUACAUACCGAGCAGUUUCCUCACAGUUGCCAGAUUAUUGGUGACUCCAGUUGCUGUCUCAUUGUGAACAAUGCAAACAGCCUUGAUUGAAUGAGACCAAUCAGCUGCUAGUUUAGAUGCCAAUGCAUCAAGAUCGGCACCUCGUCCCCACUCACUUUCUAUUACAUCGACAUUGAAGUUGAGGCGUUGUUGUUGAUCAAUCCAGAGAAGACUAAAUUGACCGAUGAGAAAAGACACAAUCUUAUCACCAGGUGAUAGUGUAUUUGUAAGUGCACUUUCCCAAGCCCCAGUACCUAGUCAAAGAACAGUUAUCAGAAGAAGCUUUAUACAGUGAAUUUCACCCCAGAUCAAAAAGAAGACCACAAAAAUGAAACUGAAGUCAAAAUUUAUGGACAAAAUAACUAUGCUAGAGUUGAAUACAAGUAGGAUAUAAUCAUGGUAAUGAUCUUCGAAGAUAGUUUUGCCUACCUACAACAAUUGGCCAAUAGCACUUAACAAAUAAAGCAAACCAUAUAUCAUGUAGCAAAUCUCAUGAAACAUGUCUUUCUUAGACAUAGAACAGAGAAGAAAACUAUACCUGUUGUUGGUAUCAAGAAGGGGGUACCACUUGUCGUCUUGAAGAUCUUCUUAACGUCCUCAAGAAGUGUCUUUGUUAGUGCAGGCACAGCAGGGGAGCGAUAGUCCUCAUUGUUCCUAUUCAUUGCCCUUAUCACUGGCUCGGGGAUAUUGACAGGCCCUGGAACAAAGAGAUGGUUCCUCCCAGGUGCAUAGAAGAAGUCCAUUUUUCCUUUUGGCAAAACUUCCUGAAUGGCUCUACUCAACAAAGCCCACCUAAAAGAGAAAAUGAAGCAUAUUUAGCUCUUUCUCAUUUCUUAUGCUUCAGUUCACCAAGUGCAAUGUCUGUUCUAGUGAUGCAAGAAAAGAAGAGCAAGCAACAAAUUUUAAUUAUGCAAGGGCAUCACAGAAGAAUAUAGGACAAAGAUUAUGAAGAACAAGUUAACAAAAAGAAGCUUCUUUUCUCUUUUUCUUGGGCUUUUGAUUUCAUUAAGAGAAAGACAAUGUUCUAGGGUAUGUUCUCUUACCAAUUUACUUACAGAAGUUGAGUCAUAGUAUCCAGUGGAAAGAAACAAAUGAACCAAGAAUUGCUUUUAGAGAAAGUUUUCAUUUGUGUAACUUUUUUCCUCUUCCAUUAACUUUUUGAUAAAAUUAACCAUUUUUAUAAGAACUGCAGUAGAUGUGAGUUAUGAAAUGAAGCUCAGGUAUCUAGGACAAUCACAACUUAACGAGAAAUUCAUCAAUCAAGACGGAAAAAGAUUCCUCCAAGUAUGAACCUACUGAUAGACAUGAAAAGAUUUUCCUACUUCAUUGAUGAGCUUAUCACAUAUAAAAGUUAUAUUAAUGUCGAUAUGCUUGCUGUUUACUAGUCUAUAUAUUUUUGCAUGUAGACAAUAGAACAUAUAACUAAUACCAAAUGACAUAUGUGGACAAAGGAAUACAUAACUUUGCAACAACAUCAAUAUCAGACUCCAUGAAGCAACAAAGAUUUUUUUUCUGGAUAAAGAAAUUUAUUUUCACAACCUUAAAUUCAUUUCGUCAUUCAAUUUUUUACAAAUAUUAACUAUUGUACUAACAUUUAGCUUUGAUAUUCACAUCAUGCACAAACAAGAGAAAUAUAUGCUGCAAACAUCUGUGACAGAUUAAGAAAUUAAGCUGGACUCAAUCCACACUCAUCAAGCCAAAACAGAUAACUAAAUCCCUUAGAUUUGAGAUUUAGGAAAUGAUACUAUCAGCUCCAUCCAAGAUAAGCUAUCUUAGUAUGAGAAGGUAUACGUAGAGGUGGUGGGUUGUCUAAAGUCUACAGCUGAUAUCAGUGACUCUGUUUUGUCUACAUAAAUGAAUCUAUGCUAUUAUGAUUCCAUUAGGUUGUAUUUCGAGUAAGAAAUGAUUGGAACCUCCAACUCAUCCAAAUCAAGAAUCUUGAACCAGAUUAGCCUACUACUAAUCAGUCAUCAACAUAAGGUUGAAUUAUAAGUCGAAAAUGCCUCACUCAAGACUGCUCUGCUGGAUUUAAUCAUGGUUGAAGGAAUUAAUAUUAGGUCUAAUCUCAUCCAAACUUCAACUGCAUCAGUGUUUUCCAAGUUCUAACCUAAACCAAGCAAUGUUGAACUAGUGAGAAUAUACUUAUUAGCCAAAGGCCAAUACACUGAAGUUAUGUAGCCAAUACUCAAGAAGUGAACAAGGAAAAUGAUUUACCCAUGGUGAACCCUUCAACAGAAGUUCUAAACAAGAUUUGGCCGCAGUAAAAUGCUUUUUGCAGUACAGCAUCGGCUCUCACCAAGAUGACAUGAAUUUGAUAUGAUUAAGAGAACCAGUUUACCAGUUAAAACAACAGCUUAAUACGGUGAGAUGCAGAAAUGAAAAUUAAAGCUAAAACCAAACACAGACUUGUGGAGUUCCAAAAGAAUUCCUCUUCUGUGUGUGUUGUGUGUGGAUUACCAUAGACAGAUAGAUAGAGAGAGAGAGAGUGUCUGUGCGCGU
This 6042-nucleotide long non-coding RNA is filed under the name Musa acuminata (dwarf banana). RNAcentral describes it as "long non-coding RNA (MACU_LNC004145)". Lineage: Eukaryota; Viridiplantae; Streptophyta; Magnoliopsida; Zingiberales; Musaceae. The record is from RNAcentral.